UACGUGAGUGGCUAGCGUUAUCCGGAAUUACUGGGCGUAAAGGGCUCGUAGGUGGCCAACUAAGUCAGACGUGAAAUCCCUCGGCUUAACCGGGGAACUGCGUCUGAUACUGGAUGGCUUGAGUUUGGGAGAGGGACGCGGAAUUCCAGGUGUAGCGGUGAAAUGCGUAGAUAUCUGGAGGAACACCGGUGGCGAAGGCGGCGUCCUGGACCAACACUGACACUGAGGAGCGAAAGCCAGGGGAGCAAACGGG
RNAcentral lists this ribosomal RNA (253 nucleotides) under uncultured bacterium. RNAcentral describes it as "partial 16S ribosomal RNA". It matches the Rfam family "Bacterial small subunit ribosomal RNA", at positions 524 to 776 of the family's 1533-position model. The record is from RNAcentral.